This 464-nucleotide ribosomal RNA is filed under the name uncultured spirochete Rsa402. RNAcentral describes it as "bacterial SSU rRNA". It matches the Rfam family "Bacterial small subunit ribosomal RNA", at positions 1072 to 1533 of the family's 1533-position model. The record is from RNAcentral. Lineage: Bacteria; Pseudomonadati; Spirochaetota; Spirochaetia; Spirochaetales.
GUGUUGGGUCAAGUCCCGCAACGAGCGCAACCCCUACUGCCAGUUACUAACAGGUAACGCUGAGGACUCUGGCGGAACUGCCGGUGACAAACCGGAGGAAGGAGGGGAUGACGUCAAGUCAUCAUGGCCCUUAUGUCCAGGGCUACACACGUGCUACAAUGGUUGGUACAACGUGACGCGAAACCGCGAGGUAAGAGCGAAGCAUGAAAGCCAACCGUAGUUCGGAUUGAAGUCUGAAACUCGACUUCAUGAAGUUGGAAUCGCUAGUAAUCGCGCAUCAGCAUGGCGCGGUGAAUACGUUCCCGGGCCUUGUACACACCGCCCGUCACACCAUCCGAGUUGGAGGUACCCGAAGCCGGUAGCGUAACCGUAAGGAGCGCGCUGUCGAAGGUACGUUUAGUGAGGAGGGUGAAGUCGUAACAAGGUAGCCGUACUGGAAAGUGCGGCUGGAUCACCUCCUUUCU